Molecule: ribosomal RNA, 2935 nt
Filed under: Salmonella enterica subsp. diarizonae serovar 50:k:z str. MZ0080
Lineage: Bacteria; Pseudomonadati; Pseudomonadota; Gammaproteobacteria; Enterobacterales; Enterobacteriaceae
Description: bacterial LSU rRNA
Rfam family: Bacterial large subunit ribosomal RNA
Source: RNAcentral
GGGUUGUGAGGUUAAGCGACCAAGCGUACACGGUGGAUGCCCUGGCAGUCAGAGGCGAUGAAGGACGUGCUAAUCUGCGAAAAGCGCCGGUAAGGUGAUAUGAACCGUUAUAACCGGCGAUGUCCGAAUGGGGAAACCCAGUGUGACUCGUCACACUAUCAUUAACUGAAUCCAUAGGUUAAUGAGGCGAACCGGGGGAACUGAAACAUCUAAGUACCCCGAGGAAAAGAAAUCAACCGAGAUUCCCCCAGUAGCGGCGAGCGAACGGGGAGGAGCCCAGAGCCUGAAUCAGCAUGUGUGUUAGUGGAAGCGUCUGGAAAGGCGCGCGAUACAGGGUGAGAGCCCCGUACACAAAAGCGCAUAUGCUGUGAGCUCGAUGAGUAGGGCGGGACACGUGGUAUCCUGUCUGAAUAUGGGGGGACCAUCCUCCAAGGCUAAAUACUCCUGACUGACCGAUAGUGAACCAGUACCGUGAGGGAAAGGCGAAAAGAACCCCGGCGAGGGGAGUGAAACAGAACCUGAAACCGUGUACGUACAAGCAGUGGGAGCCUCUCUUUAUGGGGGGUGACUGCGUACCUUUUGUAUAAUGGGUCAGCGACUUAUAUUCUGUAGCAAGGUUAACCGCAUAGGGGAGCCGAAGGGAAACCGAGUCUUAAUUGGGCGUUAAGUUGCAGGGUAUAGACCCGAAACCCGGUGAUCUAGCCAUGGGCAGGUUGAAGGUUGGGUAACACUAACUGGAGGACCGAACCGACUAAUGUUGAAAAAUUAGCGGAUGACCUGUGGCUGGGGGUGAAAGGCCAAUCAAACCGGGAGAUAGCUGGUUCUCCCCGAAAGCUAUUUAGGUAGCGCCUCGUGAACUCAUCUCCGGGGGUAGAGCACUGUUUCGGCUAGGGGGCCAUCCCGGCUUACCAACCCGAUGCAAACUGCGAAUACCGGAGAAUGUUAUCACGGGAGACACACGGCGGGUGCUAACGUCCGUCGUGAAGAGGGAAACAACCCAGACCGCCAGCUAAGGUCCCAAAGUCAUGGUUAAGUGGGAAACGAUGUGGGAAGGCCCAGACAGCCAGGAUGUUGGCUUAGAAGCAGCCAUCAUUUAAAGAAAGCGUAAUAGCUCACUGGUCGAGUCGGCCUGCGCGGAAGAUGUAACGGGGCUAAACCAUGCACCGAAGCUGCGGCAGCGACACUUUAGUGUUGUUGGGUAGGGGAGCGUUCUGUAAGCCGUUGAAGGUGUCCUGUGAGGGGUGCUGGAGGUAUCAGAAGUGCGAAUGCUGACAUAAGUAACGAUAAAGCGGGUGAAAAGCCCGCUCGCCGGAAGACCAAGGGUUCCUGUCCAACGUUAAUCGGGGCAGGGUGAGUCGACCCCUAAGGCGAGGCCGAAAGGCGUAGUCGAUGGGAAACGGGUUAAUAUUCCCGUACUUGGUGUUACUGCGAAGGGGGGACGGAGAAGGCUAUGUUGGCCGGGCGACGGUAGUCCCGGUUUAAGCGUGUAGGUGUGUGUUCCAGGUAAAUCCGGUUCACUUUAACACUGAGGCGUGAUGACGAGGCACCACGGUGCUGAAGCAACAAAUGCCCUGCUUCCAGGAAAAGCCUCUAAGCAUCAGGUAACAUCAAAUCGUACCCCAAACCGACACAGGUGGUCAGGUAGAGAAUACCAAGGCGCUUGAGAGAACUCGGGUGAAGGAACUAGGCAAAAUGGUGCCGUAACUUCGGGAGAAGGCACGCUGACACGUAGGUGAAGUGAUUUACUCAUGGAGCUGAAGUCAGUCGAAGAUACCAGCUGGCUGCAACUGUUUAUUAAAAACACAGCACUGUGCAAACACGAAAGUGGACGUAUACGGUGUGACGCCUGCCCGGUGCCGGAAGGUUAAUUGAUGGGGUCAGCGCAAGCGAAGCUCCUGAUCGAAGCCCCGGUAAACGGCGGCCGUAACUAUAACGGUCCUAAGGUAGCGAAAUUCCUUGUCGGGUAAGUUCCGACCUGCACGAAUGGCGUAAUGAUGGCCAGGCUGUCUCCACCCGAGACUCAGUGAAAUUGAACUCGCUGUGAAGAUGCAGUGUACCCGCGGCAAGACGGAAAGACCCCGUGAACCUUUACUAUAGCUUGACACUGAACAUUGAGCCUUGAUGUGUAGGAUAGGUGGGAGGCUUUGAAGCGUGGACGCCAGUCUGCGUGGAGCCGACCUUGAAAUACCACCCUUUAAUGUUUGAUGUUCUAACGUGGACCCGUAAUCCGGGUUGCGGACAGUGUCUGGUGGGUAGUUUGACUGGGGCGGUCUCCUCCUAAAGAGUAACGGAGGAGCACGAAGGUUGGCUAAUCCUGGUCGGACAUCAGGAGGUUAGUGCAAUGGCAUAAGCCAGCUUGACUGCGAGCGUGACGGCGCGAGCAGGUGCGAAAGCAGGUCAUAGUGAUCCGGUGGUUCUGAAUGGAAGGGCCAUCGCUCAACGGAUAAAAGGUACUCCGGGGAUAACAGGCUGAUACCGCCCAAGAGUUCAUAUCGACGGCGGUGUUUGGCACCUCGAUGUCGGCUCAUCACAUCCUGGGGCUGAAGUAGGUCCCAAGGGUAUGGCUGUUCGCCAUUUAAAGUGGUACGCGAGCUGGGUUUAGAACGUCGUGAGACAGUUCGGUCCCUAUCUGCCGUGGGCGCUGGAAGACUGAGGGGGGCUGCUCCUAGUACGAGAGGACCGGAGUGGACGCAUCACUGGUGUUCGGGUUGUCAUGCCAAUGGCACUGCCCGGUAGCUAAAUGCGGAAAAGAUAAGUGCUGAAAGCAUCUAAGCACGAAACUUGCCCCGAGAUGAGUCUUCCCUGAGACUUUGAGUCUCCUGAAGGAACGUUAAAGACGAUGACGUUGAUAGGCCGGGUGUGUAAGCGCAGCGAUGCGUUGAGCUAACCGGUACUAAUGAACCGUGAGGCUUAACCUUACAACGCCGAAGCUGUU